Non-coding RNA from Peromyscus maniculatus bairdii (prairie deer mouse), 1202 nucleotides. Lineage: Eukaryota; Metazoa; Chordata; Mammalia; Rodentia; Cricetidae. The record is from RefSeq and is a predicted model, not a curated record.
GUGUGGCCCCACCCCUGGAGGCGAGCCCCGCCCUUGUACUUGGAAGCGGACGCUGUAGACCACGCCCACGGUCCUUGGUCUUUUCCUCCCUAGGACUUGGUUAUUUUCCACCGGUCCAGGGAGGGUGGAACCGAGGUGCGGUCGCUCUCUAGAGCUCGCAUGUGUAGAAUGAACGGACUGCCUGCUUCUACUGAGACUCGCGCUCUAAGCCUAAGACCCCAACAGCCUGCGGAUGGAUGAGACUCUGCAGUCCUCAACGCUCCAGAGCCAUGCUAAUCCCCUGAGCCCGCUCUGGCUUCCAGCAGUGCCUCCCCUACAGGUGCGCCCACCCCAGCGGGUGAACCUCGAGGUGCACCCCUCUCUCCAGCUGUGAGACCUCGUAGCUCUCUACUGCUCCCAGUUUGGUUACUAGGAGGUGCACCCCUCUGUGCGCCCACCCGAUCGUGGGAAGGCCGGCUCGGCGCAGCCCCUGCCUACAAGCAGACAAGCUGAUUCGCAGUCUGAGAAUCCAACAGGUGUGCGGCCGCCUGGGCAACCUCUGGCAAAGCCACCAGUUUCCGCUUCCCAGAUAAGAGUGUUCCCGGUGUUGCAUUAGGCUGCCGGGUGAUCCCUCCCUUGCCCUUGAUUCUGCAUCUCUCCCGAAUGAAUAAGUAGCAGGUUGAGAAGGUGGAGAUGGGAGCUGUCUCUUCAGUCAAUAAUAAGAACCGUGGGGACAACGUUCUUAGGGUGUUCUCACUCAUUAUUGAUUCACAGUUCUUUGAAUAUGCUGGCUCAAGUUAGUACACGCACACGUAUGUCAGAUACUUCCUCUCAAUAUUUUGUUUACCAUCUAUCCUAGUUUGCUUUGUAUCGCUGUGAUAAGCACCACGAGCAAAAGCAACUCGGCGAGGUUGAUUUCAUCUUACACUACCAGGUAACAGUCUAUCACUCAGAGAGUCAAGCUGCUUGGAAGAAGCAGAGAUCUAGAAGACACAAAGACCAGCAGAACUUUCUGGAAGAGGCCCAGACCAACCAAGCCACCUGGAAAGGACAUUCUUCAGCCUGUUGAGUUUCUUGCAGACUGUGCAGUGUCCUCCAGACCCCUAGCUUUUAUGUCUUAUCACCCAUGCCAGGGUGACUUUAGAGAUAUAGCUGUCUUUGAGUCAUUUCUGCUUCUGUAAGGAACCACAAUAAAACUGAAUUGGACUUUGGUGGUAUCUGUA